Molecule: ribosomal RNA, 1512 nt
Filed under: Tsukamurella tyrosinosolvens
Lineage: Bacteria; Bacillati; Actinomycetota; Actinomycetes; Mycobacteriales; Tsukamurellaceae
Description: 16S ribosomal RNA
Rfam family: Bacterial small subunit ribosomal RNA
Source: RNAcentral
AGAGUUUGAUCCUGGCUCAGGACGAACGCUGGCGGCGUGCUUAACACAUGCAAGUCGAACGGUAAGGCCCUUUCGGGGUACACGAGUGGCGAACGGGUGAGUAACACGUGGGUGACCUGCCCUGUACUUCGGGAUAAGCCUGGGAAACUGGGUCUAAUACCGGAUAUGACCUUCUCCUGCAUGGGGGUUGGUGGAAAGUUUUUGCGGUACAGGAUGGGCCCGCGGCCUAUCAGCUUGUUGGUGGGGUAAUGGCCUACCAAGGCGACGACGGGUAGCCGGCCUGAGAGGGCGACCGGCCACACUGGGACUGAGACACGGCCCAGACUCCUACGGGAGGCAGCAGUGGGGAAUAUUGCACAAUGGGCGAAAGCCUGAUGCAGCGACGCCGCGUGAGGGAUGACGGCCUUCGGGUUGUAAACCUCUUUCAGUAGGGACGAAGCGCAAGUGACGGUACCUACAGAAGAAGCACCGGCCAACUACGUGCCAGCAGCCGCGGUAAUACGUAGGGUGCGAGCGUUGUCCGGAUUUACUGGGCGUAAAGAGCUCGUAGGCGGUUUGUCACGUCGUCUGUGAAAACCCGAGGCUUAACCUCGGGCCUGCAGGCGAUACGGGCAGACUUGAGUACUGUAGGGGAGACUGGAAUUCCUGGUGUAGCGGUGGAAUGCGCAGAUAUCAGGAGGAACACCGGUGGCGAAGGCGGGUCUCUGGGCAGUAACUGACGCUGAGGAGCGAAAGCGUGGGUAGCGAACAGGAUUAGAUACCCUGGUAGUCCACGCCGUAAACGGUGGGUACUAGGUGUGGGUUUCCUUCCACGGGAUCCGUGCCGUAGCUAACGCAUUAAGUACCCCGCCUGGGGAGUACGGCCGCAAGGCUAAAACUCAAAGGAAUUGGCGGGGGCCCGCACAAGCGGCGGAGCAUGUGGAUUAAUUCGAUGCAACGCGAAGAACCUUACCUGGGUUUGACAUAUAGAGGAUCGCCGGAGAGAUUCGGUUUGCCUUGUGCCUUCUAUACAGGUGGUGCAUGGCUGUCGUCAGCUCGUGUCGUGAGAUGUUGGGUUAAGUCCCGCAACGAGCGCAACCCUUGUCUCAUGUUGCCAGCACGUAAUGGUGGGGACUCGUGAGAGACUGCCGGGGUCAACUCGGAGGAAGGUGGGGAUGACGUCAAGUCAUCAUGCCCCUUAUGUCCAGGGCUUCACACAUGCUACAAUGGCGCGUACAGAGGGCUGCGAUACCGUGAGGUGGAGCGAAUCCCUUAAAGCGCGUCUCAGUUCGGAUUGGGGUCUGCAACUCGACCCCAUGAAGUCGGAGUCGCUAGUAAUCGCAGAUCAGCAACACUGCGGUGAAUACGUUCCCGGGCCUUGUACACACCGCCCGUCACGUCAUGAAAGUCGGUAACACCCGAAGCCGGUGGCCUAACCCCUUGUGGGAGGGAGCUGUCGAAGGUGGGAUUGGCGAUUGGGACGAAGUCGUAACAAGGUAGCCGUACCGGAAGGUGCGGCUGGAUCACCUCCUU